Molecule: long non-coding RNA, 1291 nt
Organism: Apis cerana (Asiatic honeybee)
Lineage: Eukaryota; Metazoa; Arthropoda; Insecta; Hymenoptera; Apidae
Source: RefSeq, a predicted model, not a curated record
AACCGUUGGAAGAGAACGCCGCCACGCGGGUGGUGUACUCACUAUUCGUCGUCACGGCGCCGUGACCAUCGUAUCGCUCGUUGGCUCGUUGUGUCUACGCUUGUUUUGCGAUGCGGAUCCGCCGGGGUGUCGAUAUCCGCGCACAACUUCUCACUGUUGGAAAGUUUCGAGAGGGAUUGCUCGUGGGACGAAGGCUGGAAAGUUCUGGGUUUUCAGUUUUUGUCGGUGGCGGUUGAUUGGAUAUUUUUUGAUGGAGGGAAGCAAGGGAACGAGGAUCGAGGUUAUUCGGUGGAAUUGAAGAGAUCUCGUGAAUCAAGUAAACUUUCAACUAUUCGAAACACGAUAAAUGAAAACGAGGAUGCAAUGUAAACAGGUCAGACGACAUGUAAACAGCGCCACUGCUGAUCGUCUGGAACUACGGAAUAGAUGAGCAUGCCUGUCAUAUCUCCGUAAGAAAUCUACCAUUAAUAUAUUUAACUUUGUACAACGUUAAAGAUACAAAACUUUCAAUUAUAUCAUCACGGUACGUUGUUUCGGGGAAAAAAUAACGACAAAACAAAAGGCAAUAAUAAUUACGAAGAUAAACGUUAAUGCAAUACAUGAAGCGUAUUAACUGCACAAUUUAUAAUUAAUAAUAUCGUGUUACAAUUAUCGGUCAGUAAAUAGACAAGAGGCGUAUCGAUAUUGUUACAAUAUUGUUUACCUGUGCCACCGAUGAAAAUAAAAGACGAAAUAUCCUGCGUUGAUUGAUUUGCAUCCCAACAAUCUCCGUCUCGAAUCGUAAAAAUAAUCGCUUCUCUCGCAUUAAAUGUCCUGAGCAAUUACAUCGUUCGAGGUUCAAAGUAUUAUACAACGAAUAUAGAUUUUUACUUGUUUUGAAAAAUACAAAAAUAUAACGUUAUACGAUACGGAUCAAAAUUUAUAAAAAACUGAAUUAAGGAUAUUUUACAUGUUCUUAUCAAUAUUAUGAUAAAGUAGAAUUUUAAAACGAAAAUUAUACUUUAAUUAUAAUAAUUUCGUCAAAGGAACCUUGAUAUUAAUUUAACUAAUUAAAAAUUAUUUAUUAUAUAUUUAUAAUUAAAUUUAUUAAGCCGUUUAUCUGAGUAGAUUUUAGCUAAAAAUGUCGAAGAUUGAAAAAAUAUUUAAAUAUCUUUUCUUUUUAGAUACACACCUAGAAAUUCACACAAAAAUUUUGUUAAACGUUUUCAACGUUACGAUAAAAAAAUAUUAAUGUAUAUUAAUUAUUAAUGUACAAGUAACGAAAAAUAUUUUACAAAAUUCUUUUUCAAUC